GGUGCAGUAACUAGGAAGGUUGUCGUAAACAAUGAUUUGCUGGAGCUCAACUGAUUUCCCGGAAGUAGAAUCUACAAACUGUAACAUGACCUUAUUUGGGUGUUUAUCCAAAAGGUUCACUAUGACCUUGACCCUUGUUGCGCUAGGCCUCGUUCUAUCUUGCGUCGCCUUGUCAACAGCAAUCGGUUUUCCAACAGCAGACACAAUUGACAGCAGAGACCUUUUC
This 226-nucleotide long non-coding RNA is filed under the name Nicotiana benthamiana. Its description in RNAcentral is "long non-coding RNA (NBEN_LNC019294)". The record is from RNAcentral. Lineage: Eukaryota; Viridiplantae; Streptophyta; Magnoliopsida; Solanales; Solanaceae.